This 402-nucleotide ribosomal RNA is filed under the name uncultured prokaryote. RNAcentral describes it as "bacterial SSU rRNA". It matches the Rfam family "Bacterial small subunit ribosomal RNA", at positions 355 to 774 of the family's 1533-position model. The record is from RNAcentral.
UAGGGAAUAUUGGUAAUCUGGGAAACCGGGAACCAGCAACGCCGCGUGCGCGAUGAAGGCCUUCGGGUUGUAAAGCGCUUUUUGAGAGGAUGAGGAAGGACAGUACCCUUAGAAUAAGCCUCGGCUAACUACGUGCCAGCAGCCGCGGUAAAACGUAGGAGGCGAGCGUUAUCCGGAUUUACUGGGCGUAAAGCGUGUGUAGGCGGUUUGAUAAGUUGGAUGUGAAAGCUCCCGGCUCAACUGGGAGAGGUCGUUCAAAACUAUCAGACUUGAGAGUGGUAGAGGGAGGUGGAAUUCCGCGUGUAGUGGUGAAAUGCGUAGAUAUGCGGAGGAACACCAGUGGCGAAAGCGGCCUCCUGGCCCAUUUCUGACGCUCAGACACGAAAGCUAAGGUAGCAAACA